CGGGACGUGGCGCAGCUUGGUAGCGCACCUGCUUUGGGAGCAGGGGGUCGUCGGUUCAAAUCCGACCGUCCCGA
RNAcentral lists this transfer RNA (74 nucleotides) under Thermoleophilia bacterium. Its description in RNAcentral is "tRNA-Pro". It matches the Rfam family "tRNA". Rfam says of the family: Transfer RNA (tRNA) molecules are approximately 80 nucleotides in length. Their secondary structure includes four short double-helical elements and three loops (D, anti-codon, and T loops). The record is from RNAcentral. Lineage: Bacteria; Bacillati; Actinomycetota; Thermoleophilia.